GGAGGCUUCGCAUAAUGGUAUUGCAGCGGUCUUGAAAACCGCCGGGAGAAAUCCUGUGGGGGUUCGAAUCCCUCAGCCUCCG
This 82-nucleotide transfer RNA is filed under the name Pseudomonadota bacterium. RNAcentral describes it as "tRNA-Ser". It matches the Rfam family "tRNA". Rfam says of the family: Transfer RNA (tRNA) molecules are approximately 80 nucleotides in length. Their secondary structure includes four short double-helical elements and three loops (D, anti-codon, and T loops). RNAcentral also lists the same sequence under 1 other name. Lineage: Bacteria; Pseudomonadati; Pseudomonadota. The record is from RNAcentral.